CCUACGGGUGGCAGCAGUCGAGAAUCAUUCACAAUGGGGGAAACCCUGAUGGUGCGACGCCGCGUGGGGGAAUGAAGGUCUUCGGAUUGUAAACCCCUGUCAUGUGGGAGCAAAUUAAAAAGAUAGUACCACAAGAGGAAGAGACGGCUAACUCUGUGCCAGCAGCCGCGGUAAUACAGAGGUCUCAAGCGUUGUUCGGAAUCACUGGGCGUAAGGCGUGCGUAGGCUGUUUCGUAAGUCGUGUGUGAAAGGCGCGGGCUCAACCCGCGGACGGCACAUGAUACUGCGAGACUAGAGUAAUGGAGGGGGAACCGGAAUUCUCGGUGUAGCAGUGAAAUGCGUAGAUAUCGAGAGGAACACUCGUGGCGAAGGCGGGUUCCUGGACAUUAACUGACGCUGAGGCACGAAGGCCAGGGGAGCGAAAGGAUUAGAUACCCCAGUAGUC
This 445-nucleotide ribosomal RNA is filed under the name uncultured bacterium. RNAcentral describes it as "partial 16S ribosomal RNA". It matches the Rfam family "Bacterial small subunit ribosomal RNA", at positions 338 to 795 of the family's 1533-position model. The record is from RNAcentral.